Molecule: ribosomal RNA, 574 nt
Filed under: Salmonella enterica
Lineage: Bacteria; Pseudomonadati; Pseudomonadota; Gammaproteobacteria; Enterobacterales; Enterobacteriaceae
Description: partial 23S ribosomal RNA
Rfam family: Bacterial large subunit ribosomal RNA
Source: RNAcentral
UUGACUGCGAGCGUGACGGCGCGAGCAGGUGCGAAAGCAGGUCAUAGUGAUCCGGUGGUUCUGAAUGGAAGGGCCAUCGCUCAACGGAUAAAAGGUACUCCGGGGAUAACAGGCUGAUACCGCCCAAGAGUUCAUAUCGACGGCGGUGUUUGGCACCUCGAUGUCGGCUCAUCACAUCCUGGGGCUGAAGUAGGUCCCAAGGGUAUGGCUGUUCGCCAUUUAAAGUGGUACGCGAGCUGGGUUUAGAACGUCGUGAGACAGUUCGGUCCCUAUCUGCCGUGGGCGCUGGAGAACUGAGGGGGGCUGCUCCUAGUACGAGAGGACCGGAGUGGACGCAUCACUGGUGUUCGGGUUGUCAUGCCAAUGGCACUGCCCGGUAGCUAAAUGCGGAAGAGAUAAGUGCUGAAAGCAUCUAAGCACGAAACUUGCCCCGAGAUGAGUUCUCCCUGAGACUUAAAGUCUCCUGAAGGAACGUUGAAGACGACGACGUUGAUAGGCCGGGUGUGUAAGCGCAGCGAUGCGUUGAGCUAACCGGUACUAAUGAACCGUGAGGCUUAACCUUACAACGCCGAAG